GCUCGGAUAGUGUAGUGGUUAUCACGCGAUGCUCACAUGGCUUUGUGCCUCUGUACCAUCGAGGUCCCUGGAUCGAUCCCAGGUCCGAGCA
Non-coding RNA from Cladophialophora immunda, 91 nucleotides. The record is from the annotation of a RefSeq genome assembly. NCBI's taxonomy places the organism in Eukaryota, Fungi, Ascomycota, Eurotiomycetes, Chaetothyriales, Herpotrichiellaceae.